Molecule: non-coding RNA, 2160 nt
Organism: Macaca mulatta (Rhesus monkey)
Lineage: Eukaryota; Metazoa; Chordata; Mammalia; Primates; Cercopithecidae
Source: RefSeq, a predicted model, not a curated record
ACUCCUUUAGCCCUCACCUGUGCCCACUUCUUUACAGUUUGAGAAACAUUUUCGAUUUCAAAACUCUAUUGGUUUCAUGUAAACUUCAUUUACUGGGCACCUGGCACCUUGCUGAGUCUUGAGGAAUGAGCAGAGACAAUGCGGUCCCUGCUGUCAUGGAGCUGGCAUCCUGGUGGGAAGAGACAGACAGCAAACAAAUGCUUAGAUACAUGACGAAGAUAAUUUUAGAGCAGUAAGUGCUAGGAAGAAAAUUAGCAGGUGAAGUGACGGCUAGGGCUCCUUGACUGGUGGUGAGAGAAGGAGGCCUGUCUGUGCAAAGAUCUAAAUAACAGGAGGAACCGCCAUGGGUAAAGUCUGGGAAGAGCAUUUUUUUUUCUUUUAGAGGCGGGGUCUUGCUGUUUUGCCCAGACCGAACUUGAAUUCCUGGCCUCAAACAGUCCUGCCACCUCAGCCUUCUGAGUAGCUGGGACUACAGGAGCCUGUCCUGCUGGGAAGAGCAUCCUUGGCAGAGAGAACAUCAAGUGCAAAGGUCCUGAGGCAGGAGAGAACUUGGGACCCUCUGAAUGCUGCCUCGACACAACUCAUUUUACAGAUAGGAAAAUCAAGGCUCAGAGAGGUGAAGUCACUGAUCCAAAGUCACACAGCAGGUGAGUUUAGUCACCCAUUUCAUGCAUGGAGAGCCCACUGUGGGUCAGACACUGGGUUAGACCCUGGGUUGCAAUGUGAAUGUUACCUGUGAAGAGUACUGUGGUGCUCAGGCCUGCAGAGUAAUGACCUAGUCCUGUCAAGGAAUUCGGGGAAGGCUUCCUGGAGGAGGUGAUUGGUGAGUUGAGCUUUCAAGAGUGAUUUUCCUCUGCCUGCUUUAACCAGGGGAGGCUUCUGAACAAACGAGGGCCCUUCCAGAGGAGGACAGCCAUAGGCCUAACCAUCCUGAGACUGCUCUGCAUGAUGCUGGCUGAGAGGGCUCAGGCUUCUCAGAGGAGAACUGAUCAGUGAUCACUGUCAGCAGAGCUAGCCCCAAGAGACUUCUGCUGCUGACCCUGCUAGUCAUCCUCAUUUGCACACAGGUCAAAAGGAGAUCAUGUUUCCUGCCUGGAGGAGAGGCCCUGGUGGGCUGGAAUAGGGGAAAGCAGAGGGGGUGUAUCUCAGGAUAGAAUCCUGCAUCCUGCCAGGGACCAGGCUUAUCCCUGACUCACUCAAUAGGAUGCAAGGGCGCUUACUGUAGCCAGGUGAUUCCUGCAGCCGCUGUCUCACUAGGUAGACACCCGCAUUUCAAUAGCCUCCUUGUUCAGAUGACGAAACACAAUCAGGGAAUGAAGUCACUUGCCCAAGAUCACACAGUCAUACCUAGAGUAGGGAUUCUCCUGGCCCGAGCUCCUACCCAUGCUGCUGUCCUGCCCCCUCUGCGAUGAAAACUCCUGGAUGGAGGCUCCGGGCUGUUCUUACAGAGCCCAGGCAGAGUGUGAGUGUGCAGCAGGACUCCCAUUAGCAAGCACGUGGCUAGUACUUAUUUGGCACCUACUAUGUGCAUUUCAGUCUUAUUAUCUCCAUUUUGCAGAAAACAUAGAGGCCUAGAGAGGGGAGGAAACUCUCGAGAAUACCUUCCUCUGUGUAGGUAGCUGUCAGCCAGGCCCUCUGCUUAGACAGCAACAGAGGAAUGAGAUGGAAAAUCAGAACUCCUGCCCCAACUCUGCCACCCUGCCACCAAUAGCACCGCCUUGGGUGCCUCCUCACCCUCUCUCAGACUCUGGUUUCUAACAGGAGGAGUGUAGCAAUCCCUACCUGCUGGGCUUGUGAAGAUUUAAAACAGUUCAACACCGUAGAGCUCUGGACCACCAAGCGUUGCUGCUCCCCCUCCCCCCAUCAGCCUCCAGCACUUCUACAGAGAAGACAAAUAUGAAUGUGAACCUUUCUUUUGAAGGUCUUGUGAGUGCCCAGAGCCCUAUGGCAAGAAGCCUCUGCCAGGGAAAGGGAUGCGGGGAAGUGGGGGCGGUGAUAGGGAAGCAGAGCCAGAAGAGACCGUGGGGCCUCCUUCCUUCAAGGCCUCCGGUCUCUAGCAGAGAGAAGAGAGGGAGCAGGUGAGAGCCCCACUUAGCUCCAGGCAAUUGUGGUUUUUUUUUUUUUCCAGACAGGAUCCCGCUCUGUCACCAGGCUGUCUGU